This 490-nucleotide ribosomal RNA is filed under the name uncultured bacterium. RNAcentral describes it as "partial 16S ribosomal RNA". It matches the Rfam family "Bacterial small subunit ribosomal RNA", at positions 30 to 507 of the family's 1533-position model. The record is from RNAcentral.
AUUGAACGCUGGCGGCAGGCCUAACACAUGCAAGUCGAACGGUAACAGGAAGAAGCUUGCUUCUUUGCUGACGAGUGGCGGACGGGUGAGUAAUGUCUGGGAAACUGCCUGAUGGAGGGGGACAACUACUGGAAACGGUAGCUAAUACCGCAUAACGUCGCAAGACCAAAGAGGGGGACCUUCGGGCCUCUCGCCAUCGGCUGUGCCCAGGUGGGAUUAGCUAGUAGGUGGGGUAACGGCUCACCUAGGCGACGAUCCCUAACUGGUCUGAGAGGAUGACCAGCCACACUGGAACUGAGACACGGUCCAGACUCCUACGGGAGGCAGCAGUGGGGAAUAUUGCACAAAGGGCGCAAGCCUGAUGCAGCCAUGCCGCGUGUAUGAAGAAGGCCUUCGGGUUGUAAAGUACUUUCAGCGGGGAGGAAGGGAGUAAAGUUAAUACCUUUGCUCAUUGACGUUACCAGCAGAAGAAGCACCGGCUAACUCCGUG